This 718-nucleotide ribosomal RNA is filed under the name Microbacterium sp. zgr20. RNAcentral describes it as "bacterial SSU rRNA". It matches the Rfam family "Bacterial small subunit ribosomal RNA", at positions 56 to 784 of the family's 1533-position model. RNAcentral also lists the same sequence under 1 other name. The record is from RNAcentral. Lineage: Bacteria; Bacillati; Actinomycetota; Actinomycetes; Micrococcales; Microbacteriaceae.
UGCAAGUCGAACGGUGAACACGGAGCUUGCUCUGUGGGAUCAGUGGCGAACGGGUGAGUAACACGUGAGCAACCUACCCCUGACUCUGGGAUAAGCGCUGGAAACGGCGUCUAAUACUGGAUACGAGUGGCGACCGCAUGGUCAGCUACUGGAAAGAUUUAUUGGUUGGGGAUGGGCUCGCGGCCUAUCAGCUUGUUGGUGAGGUAAUGGCUCACCAAGGCGUCGACGGGUAGCCGGCCUGAGAGGGUGACCGGCCACACUGGGACUGAGACACGGCCCAGACUCCUACGGGAGGCAGCAGUGGGGAAUAUUGCACAAUGGGCGCAAGCCUGAUGCAGCAACGCCGCGUGAGGGAUGACGGCCUUCGGGUUGUAAACCUCUUUUAGCAGGGAAGAAGCGAAAGUGACGGUACCUGCAGAAAAAGCGCCGGCUAACUACGUGCCAGCAGCCGCGGUAAUACGUAGGGCGCAAGCGUUAUCCGGAAUUAUUGGGCGUAAAGAGCUCGUAGGCGGUUUGUCGCGUCUGCUGUGAAAUCCGGAGGCUCAACCUCCGGCCUGCAGUGGGUACGGGCAGACUAGAGUGCGGUAGGGGAGAUUGGAAUUCCUGGUGUAGCGGUGGAAUGCGCAGAUAUCAGGAGGAACACCGAUGGCGAAGGCAGAUCUCUGGGCCGUAACUGACGCUGAGGAGCGAAAGGGUGGGGAGCAAACAGGCUUAGAUA